UUCCGGUUGAUCCCGCCGGACCUGACUGCUAUCGGAUUGAUACUAAGCCAUGCGAGUCAUUGCAGCAAUGCAAGGCAGACGGCUCAGUAACGCGUAGUCAACCUAACCUAUGGACGGGAAUAACCUCGGGAAACUGAGUAUAAUGCCCGAUAGAACACUAUACCUGGAAUGGUUUGUGUUCCAAAUGAUUUAUCGCCGUAGGAUGGGACUGCGGCCUAUCAGUUUGUUGGUGAGGUAAUGGCCCACCAAGACUAUUACAGGUACGGGCUCUGAGAGGAGUAGCCCGGAGAUGGGUACUGAGACACGGACCCAGGCCCUAUGGGGCGCAGCAGGCGAGAAAACUUUGCAAUGUGCGAAAGCACGACAAGGUUAAUCCGAGUGGUUUCUGCUAAAGGAACCUUUUGUUAGUCCUAGAAACACUAACGAAUAAGGGGUGGGCAAGUUCUGGUGUCAGCCGCCGCGGUAAAACCAGCACCUCAAGUGGUCAGGAUGAUUAUUGGGCCUAAAGCAUCCGUAGCCGGCUCUGUAAGUUUUCGGUUAAAUCUGUACGCUCAACGUACAGGCUGCCGGGAAUACUGCAGAGCUAGGGAGUGGGAGAGGUAGACGGUACUCGGGAGGAAGGGGUAAAAUCCUUUGAUCUAUUGAUGACCACCUGUGGCGAAGGCGGUCUACCAGAACACGUCCGACGGUGAGGGAUGAAAGCUGGGGGAGCAAACCGGAUUAGAUACCCGGGUAGUCCCAGCUGUAAACUAUGCAAACUCAGUGAUGCAUUGGCUUGUGGCCAAUGCAGUGCUGCAGGGAAGCCGUUAAGUUUGCCGCCUGGGAAGUACGUACGCAAGUAUGAAACUUAAAGGAAUUGGCGGGGGAGCACCACAAGGGGUGAAGCCUGCGGUUCAAUUGGAUUCAACGCCGGG
RNAcentral lists this ribosomal RNA (914 nucleotides) under uncultured Nitrososphaerota archaeon. Its description in RNAcentral is "bacterial SSU rRNA". It matches the Rfam family "Archaeal small subunit ribosomal RNA", at positions 1 to 922 of the family's 1478-position model. Lineage: Archaea; Thermoproteati; Nitrososphaerota. The record is from RNAcentral.